Molecule: long non-coding RNA, 725 nt
Filed under: Bos taurus (domestic cattle)
Lineage: Eukaryota; Metazoa; Chordata; Mammalia; Artiodactyla; Bovidae
Description: long non-coding RNA NONBTAT010680
Source: RNAcentral
UUAAUUUGAAUCUUUAGUUCAACCAGUUUUAUAGAGUAUAACUCUUCAGUUAGGAACAAAAGCCUACAUUUACAAUUCCAUGCAGCUAAUCAAAUUCUACCCCUCCUCCAUUGUCCUGCCAUUGUAUUAACAGUCAGCAACAUUCCAGCCAGUGAAAUGGACACACCAGACUAGAUAUUGGCACGAGCUGUGGAAGGAGAUGCAUGAGUCAAGCUGUUAUGGCCCCUGUUGUAUGAGUUUUUAUUCAAGCUGAGAAUACAAAAUGAACCAAAGAGAAAAAGUCAGAAUGCUUAGAGUAAUAUGUGUAAAUUAACUCUGUGCAAACUGUGUGCAUUGGUGUUGAGAGAAUGCAGGCAAAGCAGCGAGUGCCCCUCUGGAAGGUGAGAGACACUGAAGCUCACAUGAGCUCUUUCUCCUAUUACAGAAGGAUUAAAUGUCACUGUGGCCACAGACUCCCAGUGAGUUAUGAUUCACAUUUAUUUAAACAGAAAACAGACAUAUCUGUAUUUAUCUCCACAUAGAUAGAUAAUACAUACCUUUGAUUUAUUUAUAAUUUAUAGAUAGAUUUCUUUAUUACCUAUGGACAAACAGAAGAGAAUAAUUUCAUAAAGCUAUACUUUCAAAAAGAAUAAUUUCAAGUAGAGUACAUCCAUGGCAUAUGCUGAAAAUAGAAAAUAAGUGUCAGCUUAUUAAACUUCUAUUUUGAUGACCCUUAUGGUUUUAUA